UUUUUUUUUUGUGCCCCCCCUCCCCCGCCCCCCCACCUGCCCUGCAUAAUGAUUAUUUUUAUUCCAUCCAACAUGCAUACAGUGUUUACUCCAUGCCAGGCAUGGCCCUAAGAAUUUCACAAACAUCAACUCAUUUAAUACUUAUAAUAAUUCUAUUAUAUAGGUGCUGUUAUUAUAUCCAUUUUACAGCUACGGAAACUGAGGCUUAGAGAGGUCAAGCAACUUCCCCAAGGUCAUACGCUUCUGUCAGUUUCCUUUAAUCACAUCAAGCCUACAUCAUCAAGUUUGGCAGUGUGAUGAAUGAAAAGUCCAGGUGGGGCCAGGAAGUGGGACUUCUCAGCCUUGACGCUUCCCUUUGGGGCCUUUUCACUAAGUACAGGGCCACUGGCGUGCUCACCUAGCGGGUGUGGUGUGGUGGGGGAGUGCUGUUCUCUCUUCUGCUGGCCUUCAUGACUCUUCUAUAAAUCUAAGCAAGAAAGUUCCAAGUAAGCAGAUGUUUUACAAGAGGCUUCAUUAAAGUUUGUGGAAACGAAGAGGGAAGCUGAGUUUGCUACAGGUUCACCUCCUGGCCUAGCUUUUGGCCAACAUCCCUGGGAUAGAGGACAUUGGUGCCUUACCUCUCCUGACUUCACUUAUCUGUGAUGUUUCCUCCACAUCCUGGAGAGUGAAGCCCAGAGAGAAAACGAGCCUCCCUUCUGUUCAAGGCCCACCUCCCACACUCUGGUUUCUUGUCUCAUUCCACGGUGGUGUCACUGGGAGUGACCAGCUCCUACUCAUUGUGAAAUAGACUUACUUCAUGACCACAGACCAAUCUUAUCAUAUGGCUGAGGUGCCUGCAAAUUCCAAAGGCGUGCACUUCCAGAGGCAGGGCAGGGGGGCUUUCUGUUAGAUGUAACCUGGAGGUUUUGUUUGUUUGUUUGUUUUUGUGAGUAAAGAACAGGAACAGCUAGGGCUUCCUAUGUCUUGAUCCAUCCUUCCCUUCAGGGUGUUUGGACUGGGGAACUAAGGAAGUCAGUCUCAGGAUUGGUUCUGCCUUGGGCUCUUCUGAAUGAGAAACAAGGCCAAAAUCCUUGGCAGGGUCCUCUCAGUACAGAAAAGGGUUCAAUCUUCAUGCUAUCACCUCUAUGAUGUGAUAAAGAAGAAUGUGUUACUACCUAAUAUACCCUCCAAGACCUUUUGACUCCUUCAAGUGUAUAAAUUCUCACUGAUUUGACAAGAUUGAUUUUCUACCCUUUACUUUGCAAAAUCCAUUGUGAGACCGAAGCAAGUAAAAUUGAUUUCUGCUCACUUCCUUUCCCACCUAAGGCCUCUUUGCUCAUUCCUGAAGAUAUGAGAUUUUCUAACUUUCAAUGCCCUUUUGAAAAGCUUGGGGUUUUUUUAGUACAGUAAAAAUCAGAUGGUUCUACAGGUCUGUGUGGGAAUUUUAAUGUGAUAUUCUAAGUGUUGAUGUGUCAUUCAUUCAAGAAGACACCUCUGUUGUAUCAUACUUGGAAGCCUAAGUAUUUACAUUGUAAAUGUUGAGCUAUGACCAUGAAAACUGGGGAUAGUAUAGUAUCACCUUGAUUUUCAUUCAAUUCACAUUUUGUGCAUUUCGCUUAAGGAUGUGCUUCAGAAAGCCAGUGGUAGAAAUUUAUUCCUCUGAGUUGCAUUGUACAGAAUCAAAUGUAGCGGGUCUGCAUUUUAUUUUUCAACAUAAGGUUUAAAGAAUGUCCUUUUUAGUUCUCUAAAGAGAAUUUAAUUGAUUCUUAACCACCAUCAGCCUGGCUGGAAAUUCAACAUUAGUCACAAUAUGGGCUCCACUGAAGGGUUAAGCAGAGAUAUCACGGGUUUGUGUUGCCCAGAACAUACAAGAAGGGCCCUUUGGUCUUAGGUCCAGGUGGCCGCUAAUGAUGUUUGUAGUCUAGGCCCAUGUGGUUCUUUGGAGGCAGGAGGCUCCGAGGCAACCAUGUAACAUAAUGCUCAGGCUGGGGCUGGGAGCCCUAGUGCCUGAGACCCAGCCUUCCUACAGAGACCCUGUAGCCACUCCCUCUUAAUGCUGUGCCACCUCUCCAACACAAGCUGUUAUGUGGGAAGAGGACAUGAGCACCAGCUUCUGGGACCCAUUCCCAAACCCCAGAUCCCCUUUAGUCUUGGAGAAUUAAAGUCUCUCCAUGUUAGCAAACUCUACCCUAGGUCUCCAAGUGCUCUCUGUCUUCUAAUCCUGGGAAAAUCUAGCAUAAUUCCCUCAGUGAGUUUCAGAGAUGCAAGCCAAGAAAGUGGGCACUCAUCACAGAAGGCACCUGCCUCUGGGGAACCAUAACCUUCAACUCUGCAGCACAAAUGUUCCUGAGCCCAGGGAAAUACAAGCUUGGAUAAUUUCUAUUCGCCAACAAAACAGAAAAAGUGAUUAUAGGGAGGUGACUUUGGAGGUUGGAGAAUAAGAAAGAUGUAAAGUAAUUGUCUCCAAGAGUGGGAAAGUUAACGUUACUAGAUAAACAUGGUAGGCUUGUUAGGUAUGUUGAGUGCCCACUUGAGCACCGUGGUCAUGCUUGUUUUCCUCCAGCCAUAUUUAGUGCUCAGGUACAGCUGUAGCUUGGGUAAAGAACCGGGAAAGAGGAACAAUGGAGUUAAGGGGAGUAUCCAAGAGUAUGACUGCUGUCUAAACUGCGCAAGGAGGGAUAGGAGGACUUGCGAGGGCAGGGAUGGUGUAUGGUGAAAAAGUGAUAGGGUCAAUGGACUGGAGGUUCUAGUGGUCUCAGUGAGUCAAAGAACUAUUGGUGUCUGGGGUACUAGAGUGAGUGAAUUAGAGAGAGAGAGAGGGCUUGAUGGUUAGUGAGAGGCUCGAAAUCAAGAUUUUACAGGUAGUUUGGUUAUUGGAGAUGGCAGACUCUAAGAGAAAGUGGGUGGAUUAAGUGAUGUAGAUGAGAAGAUUAUUGGAAGUGAAGACUUCAAGGGACAGAGACGCUAGGAUGCAGGGUGAAUUGUCUUCGCUAUGAGUGGAAAAGUUGUCAAGAACAAUGACAAGCAUCAACGAUUAAAAGGAAGAUAGAAAUGGCUUUUAUCCAAAAGACAGACAAUAACAAUUUCUGGCAAGGAUGUGGAGAAAAGGGAACCCUCAUACACUGCUGGUAGGAAUGUAAAUUAGUGUAACCACUAUGGAGAACAGUUUGGAGGUUUCCCAAAAAACUAAAAUUAGAGCUACUAUAUGAUCCAACAAUCUCAUUCUGAGGUAUAUAACCCAAAAGAAAAGAAAUCAGGAUAUAGAAGAGAUAUCUGCACUCCCAUGUAUAUUGCAGCACCAUUCAUAAUAGCCAAUAUUUGGAAGCAACUUAAGUGUCCAUCAACAGAUGAAUGAAUAAAGAAAAUGUGGUACAUACGCACAAUGGAGUACUAUUCAGCCAUAAAAAACUGAGAUCCUGUCAUUUGCAACAAUAUAGUUGGAUCUAAUAACCUGACGUUUCUUUUCUUUUCUUUUUUUUCUUUUUUCUUUUUUUUUUUGAGACGGAGUCACGCUCUGUCGCCCAGGUUGGAGUGCAGUGGCGCGAUCUCGGCUCAUUGCAACCUCCGCCUCCCGGUAAUAACCAGACAUUUCUUGAUGACCACAACAAGGAGGAGUGGGGGGUUGUGUCCUCUGAUGGUAUGUAUGUAAAAAAACCUAGAUGUUUGACAGAGAAGAACAAGAAAUGAUCUAAAACAGAGGUUGACAAACAAUGGUUAGCAGACGGAAUCCAUCUUGCCACCUGUUUUUGUAAAUAAAACUUUAUUGGCAAUUGGCUACACCCAUUAAUUUACAUAUUGUCUAUGGCUGCAUCAGCAUGUCAGAAGAGUUGAGAGGUUGUCACAGAGAGCAGAUGGCCUGAAUAACUUAAAUUAUUUACUAUCUGGUCCUUUACAGAAAAAGUUUUCUGACCCUGAUCUAUAAUUAGCAAUGAAGAGCAAAACAUUAACCUCACAAUGAGAAGUAAGCACAAUUAAUAUAACAAUAAUUUUUAUUGCCACACGAAUGUCAAAUCCUUCUGCUCCUUCUGCUCUAGAUCAUCAGAUCAAACAUUUUGGCUCAGUUGAUUUUUUUCAUGGUCAAUCUAUUCAUUGGAUGGCUGAAAUGAUAGAAUGGCUGCUUGUUUUACCUUUAUGUAUGUAUAUAUUUUUUCUUUUGAGCCUAAGCCAGCUUACAUGAUUGAUUUAGAGGUAAAUUUCAUAAUGUGCAGAUCCAGAGCACCAUUCAUUUAAAAAGUAAACUGCAGACUAUGGCACUAUUCUUUGGUUUGUUAUGGUACUGAGUAAAGAUGCUAGUGGAUAUGUCUUCCAUGACUGAUUUCCUAUUCAAUCUUACCUUGUUCCCUGUUGUUAGUCCUGAGAAUAUGAAACCAUCCUACAUUGCUUUGCCCACUGUCUAAUGAGACAGGGAUAGACAGCACUCUCAGGGUAGUCAAUCUGUAUGCUUAUCAGUGGUCACUGAUGUUUCUUCUUUGGAAAAUUUGAAUCAAGCAAUACAAAGACUCAGAGAAUGGACAACUGAGUCAGAUAAGUGGUAGGACACCAGAGUAAGUAUGCACGUAUGUGUAUUGUUAAACUUCCUGAAACUAUCUUCUUCAUUCCUGCUUUUCCUGGAACCUAUACAGCUUCCUCUUCCAGGAGAUCUUUAUCCUUUUACUUAACCUAACUUGAGUAGAUUCUAUUCGUUAGAAUCUAAUGAUUACUAAGAGCAUGUGAGUGUCCAGUUCUUGGUCAUAAGUGGGUCUAUUGGCUUGUCUCUUCCAGGAAUUCAGAUAAGAUGUGUUCCCCAGGCCAGCAGUCCUUCAUGCUGCUUGUCAUAAGGAGAAAAGAAUAUGGAGAGAGCAGCAUAGAUGCAAAUCAGCCUUUACUCGUUGGAAGACCAUUGCUGGCAGGAACCUAACUGAAACAGAGCCAACAGCUUAUGAAAAACAACCAGCCAGCAGCUUCUUCCCAACCAACUCAACAGCAAACCUGUAGCAUUGUGUGGCCAGGUGCCAUGGCUCACGCCUGUAAUCCCAGCACUUUUGGAGGCUGAGGCAGGAGGUUCGCUUGAGUCCAGGAGUUCAAGACCUAUAGCAUUGUGUAUUUUGCUUUUCAUCUUCUCUACUCUCCCUCUGGGAGUUUAAACAAUAGAACACUGAUUGGAAGACAGAAACAAGAUGUUAGGAAACUCGGGAAACCUGGAGCAAACAGUUGCCUCUGAAAGGAUUUCACUGCUUUUGAGAGGUGACAGCGUGCUGGCAGUCCUCACAGCCCUUGCUCGCUCUCGGCGCCUCCUCUGCCUGGGCUCCCACUUUGGCGGCACUUGAGGAGCCCUUCGGCCCGCCGCUGCACUGUGGGAGCCCCUUUCUGGGCUGGCCAAGGCUGGAGCCCACUCCCUCAGCUUGCAGGGAGGUGUGGAGGGAGAGGCGCGAGCGGGAACCGGGGCUGCAUGCGGCGCUUGCGGGCCAGCUGGAGUUCUGGGUGGGGGUGGGCUUGGCAGGCCCCGCACUCGGAGCAGCCGGCCAGCCCUGCUGGCCCCGGGCAAUGAGGGGCUUAGCACCCGGGCCAGUGGCUGCGGAGGGUGUACUGGGUCCCCCAGCAGUGACAGCCCACAGGCGCUGCACUCGAUUUCUCACCGAGCCUUAGCUGCCUUCCCUCGGGGCAGGGCUCGGGACCUGCAGCCAGCCAUGCCUGAGCCUCCCACCCACUCCAUGGGCUCCCAUGCAGCCCGAGCCUCACCAACGAGCACCACCCCCUGCUCCACAGCGCCCAGUCCCAUCGACCACCCAAAGGCUGAGGAAUGCGAGCACACGGCGCGGGACUGGCAGGCAGCUCCACCUGCAGCCCUCGUACGGGAUCCACUAGGUGAAGCCAGCUGGGCUCCUGAGUCUGGUGGGGACGUGGAGAGUCUUUAUAUCUAGCUCAGGGAUUGUAAAUACACCAAUCAGCACCCUGUGUUUAGCUCAAGGUUUGUGAGUGCACCAAUCGACAGUCUGUAUCUAGCUGCUCUGGUGAGGACGUGGAGAACCUUUAUGUCUAGCUCAAGGAUUGUAAAUACACCAAUCGGCACUCUGUAUCUAGCUCAAGGUUUGUAAACACACCAAUCAGCACCCUGUGUUUAGCUCAAGGUUUGUGAAUGCACCAAUUGACACUCUGUAUCUAGCUGCUCUGGUGGGGCCUUGGAGAACUUGUGUCGAAACUGUAUCUAACUAAUCUGAUGGGGACGUGGAGAACCUUUGUAUCUAGCUCAGGGAUUGUAAACGCACCAAUCAGCGCCCUGACAAAACAGGCCACUCAGCUCUACCAAUCAGCAGGAUGUGGGUGGGGCCAGAUAAGAGAAUAAAAGCAGGCUGCCCCAACCAGCAUUGGCAACCCGCUCGGGUCCCCUUGCACACUGUGGAAGCUUUGUUGUUUCGCUCUUUGCAAUAAAUCUUGCUACUGCUCACUCUUUGGGUCCACGCUGCUUUUAUGAGCUGUAACACUCACCGCGAAGAUCUGCAGCUUCACUCCUGAGCCCAGCGAGACCAUGAGCCCACCGGCAGGAACGAACAACUCCAGACACGCUGCCUUAAGAGCUGUAACACUCACCGCGAAGGUCUGCAGCUUCACUCCUGAGCCAGCGAGACCACGAACCCACCAGAAGGAAGAAACUCCGAACACAUCUGAACAUCAGAAGGGACAGACUCCAGACGUGCCACCUUAAAAGCUGUAACAUUCACCGUGAGGGUCCACGGCUUCAUUCUCGAAGUCCGUGAGACCAAGAACCCACCAAUUCCGGACACACUUUCACAUUGGAAAUGGGAUUUUCCCAUUUCAAAAAAUGAAUGUAAUUUGAUCAUUGGACUCACUAAUCACUUUUGAAUUCACUAAUCUUUUUAAUACAAUUCAAAGCAGUUGCUCUCAAACUGUAAAAUCACACACAGAAAUUGGAAAAAUACUGAUUUCCCAGGCCACAGACUUGAUGAUUUAGAAUCUCAAUCAGGGUGGGGAGUGGAGAGGAAGGGCAGACUCUAUAUUAAAAAAAAAACUCCUCAGAUUACUCUGAUACAGAUAAAUCUUAGGAAAUCAUUACUCUAGAGCAAAGAAGGACUUGGUUAUUAUUCAACAGGGUAGCACUCAAAGUUAAACUGUAUUUUCCAGACCAUCAGUCCAAAUGGAGGCUUCGACAGAGUAAUGUUUUCAGUGAUAAGCCAAAUCUCUGUAUCAGUGGUCCAUCGAAGCAGCUUACCAUCAAAUUUUGAGAUCCCCCAAACUCACUGCUAGUGUCCCUGACUGAAAACCCCUGUGGUG
RNAcentral lists this long non-coding RNA (7248 nucleotides) under Homo sapiens (human). RNAcentral's name for it is "HSALNT0407040". Lineage: Eukaryota; Metazoa; Chordata; Mammalia; Primates; Hominidae. The record is from RNAcentral.